This is a long non-coding RNA of Mobula hypostoma (lesser devil ray), 447 nucleotides long. RefSeq lists it as uncharacterized. The record is from RefSeq and is a predicted model, not a curated record. The transcript is spliced from 4 exons. NCBI's taxonomy places the organism in Eukaryota, Metazoa, Chordata, Chondrichthyes, Myliobatiformes, Myliobatidae.
CUGAAAGCUAUCUGGGACAAAUGGGUGUCUGAAACAUGUUUCAACAUAGUCAAGAACCCACACUUUGCUGCAAUAAUAAAGAUUAUACUUCUCCAGGCCUGAUAACCUGCUCUACCACAUCAAUGGUUAACAAACGGAUGGACGAGAGUAUGGAAGAAUGUUGAAAUACGUGCAUAUCUUUACAGUUCUUAGUUCAUCAAGACCACAUCCAAGCAUCUUUGAAAUAUGAUAAGAAAUUCUGCCUCAACAAUGUUCUCAGAUACAAAUACAUGAUGAAUUCUAAUUAUGCACUGAACAGAAUGAUAACGUUCUAACUGGACACAAGGAAAGCAACUUGAAAAAUUUAUAAAGCAAAAUCAGAGUUGUUACUGAAUAAACGCUGUAUCCUUUGACGUAUAUAGUAUCUCCGUGAUUCUUGCAAUUAUAAAUUUUUGUGAAGCAAUAAAG